RNAcentral lists this ribosomal RNA (2879 nucleotides) under Marinovum algicola. RNAcentral describes it as "bacterial LSU rRNA". It matches the Rfam family "Bacterial large subunit ribosomal RNA". The record is from RNAcentral. Lineage: Bacteria; Pseudomonadati; Pseudomonadota; Alphaproteobacteria; Rhodobacterales; Roseobacteraceae.
AAUCAAGCGCGAGAAGGGCGUUUGGUGGAUGCCUUGGCAGUAAGAGGCGAUGAAGGACGUGAUACUCUGCGAUAAGUCAUGGGGAGCCGAGAAUAGGCUUUGAUCCAUGAAUUUCCGAAUGGGGGAACCCACCUGAAUGUUCAUUAUAAUAACUUCGGUUGUUUAUAAUGUGCAUGACCAGGUACUUGAGACCUGAAUACAUAGGGUUUUAAGAGCAAACCCGGGGAACUGAAACAUCUAAGUACCCGGAGGAAAGGACAUCAAUUGAUACUCCCCUAGUAGCGGCGAGCGAACGGGGACCAGCCGAGCUGUGAGUGUGAAUAGAAUGGCAUGGAAUGGCCAACCAGAGUGGGUGACAGUCCCGUAUAUGAAGCAUGAUCAGACGUAUUAAGUAGGGCGGAACACGUGAAAUUCUGUCUGAAGAUCGGAGGACCACCUUCGAAGGCUAAGUACUCCUUACUGACCGAUAGCGAACCAGUACCGUGAGGGAAAGGUGAAAAGCACCCCGACGAGGGGAGUGAAACAGUACCUGAAACCGAACGCCUACAAUCAGUCGGAGCUUGACUGGACUCUAAUGACAAUCUGACGGUAGCAUCGAGAUUAUUAUUAGUGUCCAGUCUUGUGACGGCGUACCUUUUGUAUAAUGGGUCAUCGACUUAGUGUAUCUAGCAAGCUUAAGCCGUUAGGUGUAGGCGCAGCGAAAGCGAGUCUUAAUAGGGCGACUGAGUUAGAUGCAUUAGACCCGAAACCGAGUGAUCUAGGCAUGACCAGGAUGAAGGUAAGGUAACACUUACUGGAGGUCCGAACCCACACCUGUUGAAAAAGGUCGGGAUGAGUUGUGCCUAGGGGUGAAAGGCCAAUCAAACUCGGAGAUAGCUGGUUCUCUGCGAAAUCUAUUUAGGUAGAGCGUCAUCCGAAUACCCCGGGGGGUAGAGCACUGGAUGGGUAAUGGGGCCCCACAGGCUUACUGAUCCUAACCAAACUCCGAAUACCCGGGAGUACUAGAUGGCAGACACACUGCGGAUGCUAACGUCCGUAGUGGAGAGGGAAACAACCCUGACCUACAGCUAAGGCCCCCAAUUCAUGGCUAAGUGGGAAAGCAGGUGGGACGACCAAAACAACCAGGAGGUUGGCUUAGAAGCAGCCAUCCUUUAAAGAUAGCGUAACAGCUCACUGGUCUAAACAAGUUGUCCUGCGGCGAAGAUGUAACGGGGCUCAAGCCAUGAGCCGAAGCUUAGGAUGCCGUAAGGCAUGGUAGCAGAGCGUAGUGUGACAUAGGACCUCUCCUCUUUAGCGAUCUUCGGAUCGCCUUGGAGGAACGGGUUCUUUCUGUGAAGCCGGCGCGUGAGCGAUCCGGUGGAGAGAUCACUAGCGAGAAUGAUGACAUGAGUAGCGACAAAGAGUGUGAGAGACACUCUCGCCGAAAGUCCAAGGGUUCCUGCUUAAAGCUAAUCUGAGCAGGGUAAGCCGGCCCCUAAGGCGAGGCAGAAAUGCGUAGCCGAUGGGAACCACGUUAAUAUUCGUGGGCCAGGAGGAUGUGACGGAUCAAGAGGGUAGUUCAUUCUUAUCGGAUUGAAUGGGCUGCUUAUUGGUCCCUGGAAAUAGCCCUCCAUCAGACCGUACCCUAAACCGACACAGGUGGACUGGUAGAGAAUACCAAGGCGCUUGAGAGAACGAUGUUGAAGGAACUCGGCAAAAUACCUCCGUAAGUUCGCGAGAAGGAGGCCCGGUUCCUAGGCAACUAGGGGCUGGGGGCACAAACCAGGGGGUGGCGACUGUUUACUAAAAACACAGGGCUCUGCGAAGUCGCAAGACGACGUAUAGGGUCUGACGCCUGCCCGGUGCCUGAAGGUUAAAAGGAGAGGUGAGAGCCUUGAAUUGAAGCCCAGGUAAACGGCGGCCGUAACUAUAACGGUCCUAAGGUAGCGAAAUUCCUUGUCGGGUAAGUUCCGACCUGCACGAAUGGCGUAACGACUUCCCCGCUGUCUCCAACAUCGACUCAGCGAAAUUGAAUUGCCUGUCAAGAUGCAGGCUUCCCGCGGUUAGACGGAAAGACCCCGUGCACCUUUACUACAGCUUCGCACUGGCAUCAGGACUGCAAUGUGCAGGAUAGGUGGUGGGCUUUGAAGCGCGAACGCCAGUUUGCGUGGAGCCUCCCUUGAGAUACCACCCUUUGCAUUCUUGAUGUCUAACCGCGGUCCGUUAUCCGGAUCCGGGACCCUGCGUGGCGGGUAGUUUGACUGGGGCGGUCGCCUCCUAAAGAGUAACGGAGGCGCGCGAUGGUUGGCUCAGACCGGUCGGAAAUCGGUCGUUGAGUGCAAUGGCAGAAGCCAGCCUGACUGCAAGUCUGACAAGACGAGCAGAGACGAAAGUCGGUCAUAGUGAUCCGGUGGUCCCGAGUGGAAGGGCCAUCGCUCAACGGAUAAAAGGUACGCCGGGGAUAACAGGCUGAUACUGCCCAAGAGUCCAUAUCGACGGCAGUGUUUGGCACCUCGAUGUCGGCUCAUCUCAUCCUGGGGCUGGAGCAGGUCCCAAGGGUACGGCUGUUCGCCGUUUAAAGAGGUACGUGAGCUGGGUUUAGAACGUCGUGAGACAGUUCGGUCCCUAUCUGCCGUGGGUGUAGGAUACUUGAGAGGAGUUGCCCCUAGUACGAGAGGACCGGGGUGAACGAUCCACUGGUGGACCUGUUGUUGCGCCAGCAGCAGUGCAGGGUAGCUAUGAUCGGACAGGAUAACCGCUGAAGGCAUCUAAGCGGGAAGCCCCCCUCAAAACAAGGUAUCCCUGAGGACCGUGGUAGACCACCACGUCGAUAGGCCGGAGAUGUAAGUGCAGUAAUGCAUUCAGUUGACCGGUACUAAUGGUCCGAUAGGCUUGAUUUG